AGUGAACGCUGGCGGCAGGCCUAAUACAUGCAAGUCGAACGGCAGCACAGCAGAGCUUGCUCUGUGGGUGGCGAGUGGCGGACGGGUGAGGAAUACGUGGGAAUCUGCCCAGUCGUGGGGGAUAACGUAGGGAAACUUACGCUAAUACCGCAUGCGCCCUUCGGGGGAAAGCCGGGGACCUUCGGGCCUGGCGCGAUUGGAUGAGCCCACGUCGGAUUAGCUAGUUGGCGGGGUAAAGGCCCACCAAGGCGACGAUCCGUAGCUGGCCUGAGAGGAUGAUCAGCCACACUGGAACUGAGACACGGUCCAGACUCCUACGGGAGGCAGCAGUAGGGAAUAUUGGACAAUGGGCGCAAGCCUGAUCCAGCCAUGCCGCGUGAGUGAAGAAGGCCCUCGGGUUGUAAAGCUCUUUUGUCCGGAAAGAAAAGCGCCGGGUUAAUACCCUGGUGUCCUGACGGUACCGGAAGAAUAAGCACCGGCUAACUUCGUGCCAGCAGCCGCGGUAAU
RNAcentral lists this ribosomal RNA (507 nucleotides) under uncultured bacterium. RNAcentral's name for it is "bacterial SSU rRNA". It matches the Rfam family "Bacterial small subunit ribosomal RNA", at positions 29 to 524 of the family's 1533-position model. The record is from RNAcentral.